RNAcentral lists this ribosomal RNA (274 nucleotides) under uncultured bacterium. Its description in RNAcentral is "partial 16S ribosomal RNA". It matches the Rfam family "Bacterial small subunit ribosomal RNA", at positions 523 to 796 of the family's 1533-position model. The record is from RNAcentral.
AUACGGAGGGUGCAAGCGUUAAUCGGAAUUACUGGGCGUAAAGGGCGCGUAGGCGGCUCUGUAAGUCGGGUGUGAAAGCCCCGGGCUCAACCCGGGAAUUCCAUUCGAUACUGCCUAACUAGAGUGUGGUAGAGGGAAGCGGAAUUCCGGGUGUAGCGGUGAAAUGCGUAGAUAUCCGGAGGAACACCAGUGGCGAAGGCGGCUUCCUGGAUCAACACUGACACUGAGGCGCGAAAGCGUGGGGAGCAAACAGGAUUAGAAACCCCAGUAGUCC